AGAGUUUGAUCAUGGCUCAGAACGAACGCUGGCGGCAGGCUUAACACAUGCAAGUCGAGCGCCCCGCAAGGGGAGCGGCAGACGGGUGAGUAACGCGUGGGAACCUACCCAAUUCUACGGAAUAACUGAGGGAAACUUCAGCUAAUACCGUAUACGCCCUACGGGGGAAAGAUUUAUCGGAGUUGGAUGGGCCCGCGUUGGAUUAGCUAGUUGGUGAGGUAAUGGCUCACCAAGGCGACGAUCCAUAGCUGGUCUGAGAGGAUGAUCAGCCACACUGGGACUGAGACACGGCCCAGACUCCUACGGGAGGCAGCAGUGGGGAAUAUUGGACAAUGGGCGAAAGCCUGAUCCAGCCAUGCCGCGUGAGUGAUGAAGGCCUUAGGGUUGUAAAGCUCUUUCAGUGGGGAAGAUAAUGACGGUACCCACAGAAGAAGCCCCGGCUAACUUCGUGCCAGCAGCCGCGGUAAUACGAAGGGGGCUAGCGUUGUUCGGAUUUACUGGGCGUAAAGCGCACGUAGGCGGAUUGUUAAGUCGGGGGUGAAAUCCCAGGGCUCAACCCUGGAACUGCCUUCGAUACUGGCAAUCUCGAGUCCGGAAGAGGUGAGUGGAACUCCUAGUGUAGAGGUGGAAUUCGUAGAUAUUAGGAAGAACACCAGUGGCGAAGGCGGCUCACUGGUCCGGUACUGACGCUGAUGUGCGAAAGCGUGGGGAGCAAACAGGAUUAGAUACCCCAGUAGUCC
RNAcentral lists this ribosomal RNA (740 nucleotides) under uncultured bacterium. RNAcentral's name for it is "bacterial SSU rRNA". It matches the Rfam family "Bacterial small subunit ribosomal RNA", at positions 8 to 796 of the family's 1533-position model. The record is from RNAcentral.